Molecule: ribosomal RNA, 765 nt
Filed under: uncultured Streptococcus sp.
Lineage: Bacteria; Bacillati; Bacillota; Bacilli; Lactobacillales; Streptococcaceae
Description: bacterial SSU rRNA
Rfam family: Bacterial small subunit ribosomal RNA
Source: RNAcentral
GACGAACGCUGGCGGCGUGCCUAAUACAUGCAAGUAGAACGCUGAAGCUUGGUGCUUGCACCGAGCGGAUGAGUUGCGAACGGGUGAGUAACGCGUAGGUAACCUGCCUGGUAGCGGGGGAUAACUAUUGGAAACGAUAGCUAAUACCGCAUAAGAGUAGAUGUUGCAUGACAUUUGCUUAAAAGGUGCAAUUGCAUCACUACCAGAUGGACCUGCGUUGUAUUAGCUAGUUGGUGAGGUAACGGCUCACCAAGGCGACGAUACAUAGCCGACCUGAGAGGGUGAUCGGCCACACUGGGACUGAGACACGGCCCAGACUCCUACGGGAGGCAGCAGUAGGGAAUCUUCGGCAAUGGACGGAAGUCUGACCGAGCAACGCCGCGUGAGUGAAGAAGGUUUUCGGAUCGUAAAGCUCUGUUGUAAGAGAAGAACGAGUGUGAGAGUGGAAAGUUCACACUGUGACGGUAUCUUACCAGAAAGGGACGGCUAACUACGUGCCAGCAGCCGCGGUAAUACGUAGGUCCCGAGCGUUGUCCGGAUUUAUUGGGCGUAAAGCGAGCGCAGGCGGUUAGAUAAGUCUGAAGUUAAAGGCUGUGGCUUAACCAUAGUACGCUUUGGAAACUGUUUAACUUGAGUGCAAGAGGGGAGAGUGGAAUUCCAUGUGUAGCGGUGAAAUGCGUAGAUAUAUGGAGGAACACCGGUGGCGAAAGCGGCUCUCUGGCUUGCAACUGACGCUGAGGCUCGAAAGCGUGGGGAGCAAACAGG